GCCAGCAUGGAUUAGUGAUUUGAAUGUUGGUCUAUGGCUCCAGAGACCAGGGUUCAAAUCCCCAUUCAGCCA
Non-coding RNA from Phrynosoma platyrhinos (Desert horned lizard), 72 nucleotides. NCBI's taxonomy places the organism in Eukaryota, Metazoa, Chordata, Lepidosauria, Squamata, Phrynosomatidae. The record is from the annotation of a GenBank genome assembly.